GAGGGGAUAGCUCAGUGGUAGAGCGCAUGCUUAGCAUGCAUGAGGUGCUGGGUUCGAUCCCCAGUACCUCCA
Molecule: transfer RNA, 72 nt
Filed under: Camelus bactrianus (Bactrian camel)
Lineage: Eukaryota; Metazoa; Chordata; Mammalia; Artiodactyla; Camelidae
Also listed under: 1 other name
Rfam family: tRNA
About the family: Transfer RNA (tRNA) molecules are approximately 80 nucleotides in length. Their secondary structure includes four short double-helical elements and three loops (D, anti-codon, and T loops).
Source: Rfam by way of RNAcentral